RNAcentral lists this unclassified non-coding RNA (366 nucleotides) under uncultured bacterium. RNAcentral's name for it is "contains 16S-23S intergenic spacer region". The record is from RNAcentral.
UCCCCAUUAACUGAGGCAGUUCCCUGUGAAAAAUUUAACACAGGAUGUGGGUUGCGCUCGUUGACCGACUGAACGGGACACUUCACAGCACGAGCUGACGACAACCGUGCAGCACCUGUCAUCUGGCUCCUUGCGGCAUGGCUCUGUUUCCAGAGCUUUCCAGAGAUGUCAAACCUUGGUAAGGUUCUUCGCUUAGUAUCGAAUUAAACCACACGCUCCACCGCUUGUGCGGGUCCCCGUCAAUUCCUUUGAGUUUUAAACUUGCGUUCGUACUCCCCAGGCGGCUCACUUAACGCGUUAGCUUCGGUCCAAAGAGGGGUCGAUACCUCCCAAGACCUAGUGAGCAACGUUUACAGUGUGGACUAC